UGGGGAAUUUUGGACAAUGGGCGAAAGCCUGAUCCAGCAAUGCCGCGUGUGUGAAGAAGGCCUUCGGGUUGUAAAGCACUUUUGUCCGGAAAGAAAUCCUUGGCUCUAAUACAGUCGGGGGAUGACGGUACCGGAGGAAUAAGCACCGGCUAACUACGUGCCAGCAGCCGCGGUAAUACGUAGGGUGCAAGCGUUAAUCGGAAUUACUGGGCGUAAAGCGUGCGCAGGCGGUUUGCUAAGACCGAUGUGAAAUCCCCGGGCUCAACCUGGGAACUGCAUUGGUGACUGGCAGGCUAGAGUAUGGCAGAGGGGGGUAGAAUUCCACGUGUAGCAGUGAAAUGCGUAGAGAUGUGGAGGAAUACCGAUGGCGAAGGCAGCCCCCUGGGCCAAUACUGACGCUCAUGCACGAAAGCGUGGGGAGCAAACAGGAUUAGAUACCCUGGUAGUCCACGCCCUAAACGAUGUCAACUAGUUGUUGGGGAUUCAUUCCUUAGUAACGUAGCUAACGCGUGAAGUUGACCGCCUGGGGAGUACGGUCGCAAGAUUAAACUUAAGGAAUUGACGGGGUCAUAGCUGUUUCC
RNAcentral lists this ribosomal RNA (581 nucleotides) under uncultured bacterium. Its description in RNAcentral is "partial 16S ribosomal RNA". It matches the Rfam family "Bacterial small subunit ribosomal RNA", at positions 355 to 937 of the family's 1533-position model. The record is from RNAcentral.